This is a long non-coding RNA of Actinia tenebrosa (Australian red waratah sea anemone), 582 nucleotides long. The record is from RefSeq and is a predicted model, not a curated record. Lineage: Eukaryota; Metazoa; Cnidaria; Anthozoa; Actiniaria; Actiniidae.
GAACUUUUCCUUUCUUUCCAGAACAUCCACUUGUCAGAUAACAGAUCUGCUCGCCGCUCUCUCCAUUGCCAACCUGUGCACCGCAUCUAAUAAAACCAUAAAAGAUUAGAGUUGCAAGCUAGAGAUAAACUUCUUUCUAUCUGCUGGAUCCAUGGCUACAGCUACAGAUGAAUGUCUUCCUAUCUGCUAGAUCCAUGCCUACAGCUAGAGAUGAACUUCUUAGUGCUAUCUGCUAAAACCAUGCCUACAGGAAUCCAAUGCCUUACCAUCGUUAUCUGAAUGAUCUUCAAUUGUCUCUUUGUCAUGUGGGCCUUGAACAUCAUUAGGAAUUAAUGGUGGACCGUGAGGACCUGGAACAUCAUCAAUGGUUGGUGGACCGUGAGGACCUGGAACAUCAUCAAUGGUUGGUGGACCGCGAGGACCUGGAACAUCAUCAAUGGUUGGUGGACCGUGAGGACCUCGAAAAUUUAAAAAAGGUUAUUAGACUUGGGCUUCCUGUGGUCUUACCGUUUUCGGCCACCAAGCUUGACCUGAUCCGUGAGCAACCAUUCUGACUGAGAUCCCAGUKAUGGAGCCUAGAUC